This 795-nucleotide long non-coding RNA is filed under the name Musa acuminata (dwarf banana). RNAcentral describes it as "long non-coding RNA (MACU_LNC005348)". The record is from RNAcentral. Lineage: Eukaryota; Viridiplantae; Streptophyta; Magnoliopsida; Zingiberales; Musaceae.
CAACCAUCGCUGUUGAUCCGAUCUCCAGAUCUAAUUCCACCGAGACUCUACCUUCGACCACUGACUCGCUGUUGGAAGAUCACCCUCACUGCUUUGUUAGAUCUCCCCUGUCUCUCAUGUAGCCUUUGUUCACGUUGACUUCCCUUGUUUCGUUGGUUUGCUCGGUGGCCUGUUCUUUUCGUCGUCAACCAAAUCGCAGCUUCAUUCACCGCUACCAGUGUUCCUCUACUUGAGCCGGCAGCUUUAUUUGCGGUCGCCUACUUUGACAUAUCCUCCCCCUCCUCUCCUCGGUUGAUCUUCCUCUUUGAAGGAUCGUAGGGGGUGAUUCCCACGCACUUCGACGUCGACCAGGCCCUCAUCGACGGGCUCCGGCUACCGCCCAUCUACGGCCACGCCUUCCACCUUAGCAUCGUCGGUGAAGCCUGAUCUCAUCGAAAUGCCUGGCGAUCCCCUUCGGAGCAUGAAAAGAUAUCCUCAUCUGCACUCCAGUAAUGCUAGAUCCCCCAAUCUGCCGCCCUCCCCCAUCUCUCGCCAUUUCCUCUGCCUUAGCGCACCUCCGGCAACAUUAAUCUGCAGCAACAUAGGCUGUUCUACUGCGGUCGCUUUCUUCCCUGUGGCUACUACGGCACUUCCUCGAUGACUAGUGGCCGUCUCUGCCAGUGGCCGUCUUCCUUGAUAGAACAGUGAUAUUUUCUCGGAAAAUCUUAAUUAUUAUCAUGAAAAAUCUUAGUUAUUAUCAUGCCCCCGCAAGAUAGUACUCUUGUCAAGGAUGUUGAUCUUGGAUCAAUAUGAAUA